Molecule: long non-coding RNA, 2754 nt
Organism: Oncorhynchus keta (chum salmon)
Lineage: Eukaryota; Metazoa; Chordata; Actinopteri; Salmoniformes; Salmonidae
Exons: 11
Source: RefSeq, a predicted model, not a curated record
UGGGUGGCUGGGUGGGUUGGGCUUAUCCUUAUUCUGGAAGUCUGUUUGGAAUAAUAUUUGUAAUUGUUUUGACUUUAUUUGACCAAGUUGUUCCGUUAAUAUUCUGUUAAUUCAGACCCAAAUAUUGUUGUUGAGUCAUUCUAUAAAAAACACUUUGAAAAUCCCAUCUCAAACAGACCGUUUAAAAAAAUGCUUGCAAUUUCCUUAUUGAGUAUGAUGUCAGCAGUCUAGAGGAGGCUAAACUGGCCAAUCAGUGAUCUACUUGCAUGAAUAUUUUAAUUAUUAUGAUGAAUAUUUUUUUUAACCUUUAAUUAACAAGGGAAGUAAGUUAAGAACACAUUUUUAUUUACAUUGACGGCCUUAUGACCGGUAUAAGCACCAUGCAAACAACAGAAAAGCUGCUUUUUAACAUAGUUAAUAAAAACACAUUGGAAAGAAAACUAUUUCACUCAUAUUUCAUGAAUGGAGUGGACGAUACGGUUUGAUACCGUUUCCUGAUUUACCAGCCCUUAACCAACAGGUGUAGUAGACCUUAACCAACAGGUGUAGUAGACCUUAACCAACAGGUGUAGUAGACCUUAACCAACAGGUGUAGUAGACCUUAACCAACAGGUGUAGUAGCCCUUAACCAACAGGUGUAGUAGACCUUAACCAACAGGUGUAGUAGCCCUUAACCAACAGGUGUAGUAGACCUUAACCAACAGGUGUAGUAGACCUUAACCAACAGGUGUAGUAGACCUUAACCAACAGGUGUAGUAGACCUUAACCAACAGGUGUAGUAGACCUUAACCAACAGGUGUAGUAGACCUUAACCAACAGGUGUAGUAGCCCUUAACCAACAGGUGUAGUAGACCUUAACCAACAGGUGUAGUAGACCUUAACCAACAGGUGUAGUAGACCUUAACCAACAGGUGUAGUAGCCCUUAACCAACAGGUGUAGUAGACCUUAACCAACAGGUGUAGUAGACCUUAACCAACAGGUGUAGUAGACCUUAACCAACAGGUGUAGUAGACCUUAACCAACAGGUGUAGUAGACCUUAACCAACAGGUGUAGUAGACCUUAACCAACAGGUGUAGUAGACCUUAACCAACAGGUGUAGUAGACCUUAACCAACAGGUGUAGUAGACCUUAACCAACAGGUGUAGUAGACCUUAACCAACAGGUGUAGUAGACCUUAACCAACAGGUGUAGUAGACCUUAACCAACAGGUGUAGUAGACCUUAACCAACAGGUGUAGUAGACCUUAACCAACAGGUGUAGUAGACCUUAACCAACAGGUGUAGUAGACCUUAACCAACAGGUGUAGUAGACCUUACUGUGAAAUGCUGAUUUACCUCAACCAGCAGUGCAGGUUAUGGUUAGGUGAAGGGGUUAGUUAAAAGGGUUAAGGUUAUGGUUAGGUGAAGGGGUUAGUUAAAAGGGUUAAGGUUAGGUGAAGGGGUUAGUUUAAAGGGUUAAGGUUAUGGUUAGGUGAAGGGGUUAGUUAAAAGGGUUAUGGUUAGGUGAAGGGGUUAGUUUAAAGUGUUAUGGUUAGGUGAAGGGGUUAGUUUAAAGGGUUAAGGUUAUGGUUAGGUGAAGGGGUUAGUUAAAAGGGUUAUGGUUAGGUGAAGGGGUUAGUUUAAAGUGUUAUGGUUAGGUGAAGGGGUUAGUUUAAAGGGUUAAGGUUAUGGUUAGGUGAAGGGGUUAGUUAAAAGGGUUAAGGUUAUGGUUAGGUGAAGGGGUUAGUUUAAAGUGUUAUGGUUAGGUGAAGGGGUUAGUUAAAAGUGUUAUGGUUAGGUGAAGGGGUUAGUUAAAAGGGUUAAGGUUAUGGUUAGGUGAAGGGGUUAGUUAAAAGGGUUAAGGUUAUGGUUAGGUGAAGGGGUUAGUUAAAAGGGUUAAGGUUAUGGUUAGGUGAAGGGGUUAGUUUAAAGGGUUAAGGUUAUGGUUAGGUGAAGGGGUUAGUUAAAAGGGUUAAGGUUAUGGUUAGGUGAAGGGGUUAGUUAAAAGGGUUAAGGUUAGGGUUAGGUGAAGGGGUUAGUUAAGCUAAGGCGUAUGUAAACUUCUGACUUCAAGAAGAAGAUAUAAGGCUAAAAUAAAAGCAAUAGUAAGCUGUUAGUAGCUCCUCACACUAAUCAUUUUCUCCAAAGCGGUAUUGUAAACACAUAUUGGAUAAUUAUGUGGAUAUAUUGAAAUAACAUCUCAAGACAUCAGUCAGGAAGUUAAAGGCUUACAAGCCGAAGAACACCAUCCUAACUGUGAAGCACGGGGGUGGCAGCAUCAUGUUGUGGGGGUGCUUUGCUGCAGGAGGGACUGGUGCACUUUACAAAAUAGAUGGCAGCAUGUGGGAGGAAAAUGAUGUGGAUAUAUUGAAGUAACAUCUCAAGACAUCAGUCAGGAAGUUAAAGCUUGGUCGCAAAUGGGUCUUCCAACUGGACAAUGACCUCAAGCAUACUACCAAAGUUGUGGCAAAAAUGGCUUAAGGACCACAAAGUCAAGGUAUUGGAGAGGCCAUCACAAAACCCUGUCCUCAAUCCUAUUGAACAUUUGUGGGCAGAACUGAAAAAGUGUGUGCGAGCAAGAUGGCCUACAAACCUGACUCAGUUACACCAGCUCUGUCAGGAGGAAUGGGCCAACAUUCACUUAUUGUGGGAAGCUUGUGGAAGGCUCCUGAAACGCUUGACCCAAGUUAAACAAUUUAAAGACAAUGCUACCAAAUACUAAUUGAGUGUAUGUAAACUUCUGACCCACUGGGAAUGUGAUGAAAGAAAUAAAA